RNAcentral lists this ribosomal RNA (119 nucleotides) under Pteropus alecto (black flying fox). The record is from RNAcentral. Lineage: Eukaryota; Metazoa; Chordata; Mammalia; Chiroptera; Pteropodidae.
GUCUAUGGCCAUGCCAUCCUGAACGUGCCCAAUCUCGUCUGAUCUUAGAAGCUAAGCAGGGUUGGGACUGGUAAGUACUUGGAUGGGAGACCACCUAGGAAUACCAGGUGCUGUAGGCA